GUGGGGAAUAUUGGACAAUGGGGGGAACCCUGAUCCAGCCAUGCCGCGUGUGUGAAGAAGGCCUUUUGGUUGUAAAGCACUUUAAGCGAGGAGGAGGCUACCGAGAUUAAUACUCUUGGAUAGUGGACGUUACUCGCAGAAUAAGCACCGGCUAACUCUGUGCCAGCAGCCGCGGUAAUACAGAGGGUGCAAGCGUUAAUCGGAUUUACUGGGCGUAAAGCGCGCGUAGGUGGCCAAUUAAGUCAAAUGUGAAAUCCCCGAGCUUAACUUGGGAAUUGCAUUCGAUACUGGUUGGCUAGAGUAUGGGAGAGGAUGGUAGAAUUCCAGGUGUAGCGGUGAAAUGCGUAGAGAUCUGGAGGAAUACCGAUGGCGAUGGCAGCCAUCUGGCCUAAUACUGACACUGAGGUGCGAAAGCAUGGGGAGCAAACAGGAUUAGAAACCCCUGUAGUCC
Molecule: ribosomal RNA, 451 nt
Filed under: uncultured bacterium
Lineage: Bacteria
Description: bacterial SSU rRNA
Rfam family: Bacterial small subunit ribosomal RNA
Source: RNAcentral